This 392-nucleotide long non-coding RNA is filed under the name Solanum tuberosum (potato). Its description in RNAcentral is "long non-coding RNA (STUB_LNC004396)". Lineage: Eukaryota; Viridiplantae; Streptophyta; Magnoliopsida; Solanales; Solanaceae. The record is from RNAcentral.
UCGAAAGAGAUAUAUACUUGAAGUAUUGAAUAUACCUCGUCUCACUAGUGUAAGUUACUAGUCAUCUUCAGGUAUAAUGUUUAAUAUUGAGUGGUAAAAUAUGUGUCAUUUAUGUGUGUUCAGUAAUUAUGAAAAAGUUGUUUAUCAAGAAUAAUCACCAUCUCAGGUACUAUUCAUUGCCUUCAGUGAAGAUUCCAUCUCUAAAUUUAUCAAGAAAUAAUACCACGCUUUGCUAUAUGACUGUUUGCAAUAAAUUUCAAUGUCUACAAUGACCUUGCUGAAACAUCGUCUAUCGAGAAAAUGGACUUAAGUGGCAUGUAGCAUGACUAUGUAGACGUAUUUAGAGAACAAAUGAAGUUGGAUGUAGUGGUGGAGAAAUAUUAUGUUAAGGG